This 497-nucleotide ribosomal RNA is filed under the name uncultured bacterium. RNAcentral's name for it is "partial 16S ribosomal RNA". It matches the Rfam family "Bacterial small subunit ribosomal RNA", at positions 28 to 507 of the family's 1533-position model. The record is from RNAcentral.
GAUGAACGCUGGCGGCGUGCCUAAUACAUGCAAGUCGAGCGAACAGACGAGGAGCUUGCUCCUCUGACGUUAGCGGCGGACGGGUGAGUAACACGUGGAUAACCUACCUAUAAGACUGGGAUAACUUCGGGAAACCGGAGCUAAUACCGGAUAAUAUAUUGAACCGCAUGGUUCAAUAGUGAAAGACGGUUUUGCUGUCACUUAUAGGUGGAUCCGCGCCGCAUUAGCUAGUUGGUAAGGUAACGGCUUACCAAGGCAACGAUGCGUAGCCGACCUGAGAGGGUGAUCGGCCACACUGGAACUGAGACACGGUCCAGACUCCUACGGGAGGCAGCAGUAGGGAAUCUUCCGCAAUGGGCGAAAGCCUGACGGAGCAACGCCGAGUGAGUGAUGAAGGUCUUCGGAUCGUAAAACUCUGUUAUUAGGGAAGAACAAAUGUGUAAGUAACUAUGCACGUCUUGACGGUACCUAAUCAGAAAGCCACGGCUAACUACGUG